AUAAAUCUCAUUUAUAUAUGUUUGGUUCUAAUUGCUAUCGAGAUCUGAUUGUUAGCGGUGUUAAAUUAUAUGAAAUAAUUAUUAUUUUUAGAAAUUUAAACUAGUAAAAAACUGUGUUAAUAUUUUAUAUUUAAUAUUUUUUUUUCAUACUUAGACCGGAGACUUUUUGGUAAAUUGAAUGAAAGAAAAUAAAUUAUAUUAGGAGCAAGAUUUGAACUUCAAAUUUCUUGUUCUGAUAUUCUAUUAAAUUAUAUAAAAUAAUAAUUAUUUUUU
This 273-nucleotide long non-coding RNA is filed under the name Ananas comosus (pineapple). Its description in RNAcentral is "long non-coding RNA (ACOM_LNC027247)". The record is from RNAcentral. Lineage: Eukaryota; Viridiplantae; Streptophyta; Magnoliopsida; Poales; Bromeliaceae.